This 1466-nucleotide long non-coding RNA is filed under the name Homo sapiens (human). RNAcentral describes it as "HSALNT0344865". The record is from RNAcentral. Lineage: Eukaryota; Metazoa; Chordata; Mammalia; Primates; Hominidae.
UCUGCCUCCCGCGGCGGGCCGGGUCUCCAGGGAGGACCUGAGUUUUCUUCACCCAUGGUCAGGGAAGCGCCAUCGCCCUGGCUUUGAGGCUGGGGCCUCCGGGGAGGUUCCGGUAGGGGCUUUGAAGAGGCCGCUGUUUUUGCAAGGCCGAGACGGCGGGCCCUGCGCAGGCCGCCCUAUUCCGCGCCCUCAGGGCGUCAGUAUCCGCCUGAGGCCGGAUACCCCCUCUGGGCCCGGAUGCCCCCGCUGGCCCCGGAGCAUCCUCGGCGCUGCCCUCCCAGAGCCCCGCAGAGGCUGAGGUGGCGCGGGGGCGGCCCCGGCUCCGCGAGAAGCGGCGGCAGCGAGGGCUGGAGGACCCGGGCUACGGGGCUCCGGGGCGUCUGGCCUGGUUGGGACUGAGCCCAUCCAGGGACUGGGACUCUGGGAUUCUGGUGUAGGUGGAUCCGGGGCAGGCUCAGGACCAAGUCCCUCUCCUUCCACCAAGGAGCGCCCAGAGGCCGGCGGGAGCUCCAGGUUCACCUCCUCCUCCUCCAGGAAAUCUCACUUCCAACUGGAUGUCUGGAUGAACUACUGAAAGCUGCUGAGUGUCCUGCAGCAGGUGAGCUGUGGCCAGAGCCCAAGGAUGAAGGGGGCUCCCUCACUCUGUGACUGUGAAGAGGAAGCCUGAGGUGUAGCAGGCCCAGGCCCCAGAAGUAUGGAAAAAAUGAGCUUGACUACCACACAAAUGAAUCCACUCAAAUGUUGGCAAGUGGAGCAGAGUCCCAGGACAGGUACAGAAACACCCCCAGUUCAAGGAUCUUCACACCUGGAUUUAGGCCUACUCCUGCAACUACCCCAGAACCUGGAAUUUAUAUGUUCAACAUGGAGCCAUCCCAGCCAUGACAACAGAGAAUGUACCACUCUCACAGUUACUAUGAAUUAUUAUAUUGUGGCUACUUACACCAAGAUGAAGAUAAUUUAUUAGUUCAGGAAGAACCUGCAUUCUGAAGGCAAAUGGAAGUUCCAGCUACAGAUGGGCAGACACAUGCCCCCUCAAUUCCUGAUGGACCUCCUUGUGCCUCAUGGACCUAAGGGGCCUCCCUCAAUGUUUCAAGAUGCCACCAAGGCAGGGAUCAGCUAGUGCAUUCCUGAGAACAUCCAGGAUGAAUUGAGGCUCUGGAAAAAUGCAAGAGUUUCCACAUAAUCCCAAAAAACCCUACAGGUGAACUGGAUGCCACAGAAAGAGGAGUGGUCUUUGUCACAACAAAAUCAACAAAAUUAUUUCGAAGUCAAUUAGGAAACUCAGAAAUCACUCUUGCUGCCAUUAAGAGGAAGAACAGCAGCCUGUGAAUGGCAUCCCUGGCCUUCCCGAGACUCCACAGAUAUUUCUAUGUGGCUUCAGACACCAGAAAUCUCUGUGAUUUUCAGAAAGGCAGGGACAGCUCAUGCAAGCCCAUCCCUCUGCAGAAUGUGUCCCAGCAGAUCAG